GUCAGCUAAGACCGCAUAGGUGUAGAGAUCGCAUGAACUCUAUAUGAAAAGUGCUACGGGACUGGUAGAUGAUGGACUUAUGGCGCAUUAGCUGGUUGGUAGGGUAACGGCCUACCAAGGCGACGAUGCGUAGCCGACCUGAGAGGGUGACCGGCCACACUGGGACUGAGACUCGGCCCAGACUCCUACGGGAGGCAGUAGUAGGGAAUUUUCGGCAAUGGGGGAAACCCUGACCGAGCAACGCCGCGUGAAGGAAGAAGUAGUUCGUUAUGUAAACUUCUGUCAUAGAGGAAGAACGGUGGAUAUAGGGAAUGAUAUCCAAGUGACGGUACUCUAUAAGAAAGCCACGGCUAACUACGUGCCAGCAGCCGCGGUAAUACGUAGGUGGCGAGCGUUAUCCGGAAUUAUUGGGCGUAAAGAGGGAGCAGGCGGCACUAAGGGUCUGUGGUGAAAGAUCGAAGCUUAACUUCGGUAAGCCAUGGAAACCGUAGAGCUAGAGUGUGUGAGAGGAUCGUGGAAUUCCAUGUGUAGCGGUGAAAUGCGUAGAUAUAUGGAGGAACACCAGUGGCGAAGGCGACGAUCUGGCGCAUAACUGACGCUCAGUCCCGAAAGCGUGGGGAGCAAAUAGGAUUAGAUACCCUAGUAGUCCACGCCGUAAACGAUGAGUACUAAGUGUUGGGAGUCAAAUCUCAGUGCUGCAGUUAACGCAAUAAGUACUCCGCCUGAGUAGUACGUUCGCAAGAAUGAAACUCAAAGGAAUUGACGGGGGCCCGCACAAGCGGUGGAGCAUGUGGUUUAAUUCGAAGCAACGCGAAGAACCUUACCAGGUCUUGACAUCGAUCUAAAGGCUCCAGAGAUGGAGAGAUAGCUAUAGAGAAGACAGGUGGUGCAUGGUUGUCGUCAGCUCGUGUCGUGAGAUGUUGGGUUAAGUCCCGCAACGAGCGCAACCCCUGUUGCCAGUUGCCAGCAUUAAGUUGGGGACUCUGGCGAGACUGCCGGUGACAAGCCGGAAGGAAGGCGGGGAUGACGUCAAAUCAUCAUGCCCCUUAUGACCUGGGCUACACACGUGCUACAAUGGACAGAGCAGAGGGAAGCGAAGCCGCGAGGUGGAGCGAAACCCAUAAAACUGUUCUCAGUUCGGACUGCAGUCUGCAACUCGACUGCACGAAGAUGGAAUCGCUAGUAAUCGCGAAUCAGCAUGUCGCGGUGAAUACGUUCUCGGGCCUUGUACACACCGCCCGUCACACCAUGAGAGUCGGUAACACCCGAAGCCGGUGGCCUAACCGCAAGGAAGGAGCUGUCUAAGGUGGGACUGAUGAUUGGGGUGAAGUCGAAACAAGGUA
Molecule: ribosomal RNA, 1343 nt
Filed under: metagenome
Description: bacterial SSU rRNA
Rfam family: Bacterial small subunit ribosomal RNA
Source: RNAcentral